AAUGGAAAAAAGUUACUGUGGAUGGUGCCAAUUAAAGACUAAUGAAGGAAAAUUUAAGCAGACUAAAAAGGAAAAAAAAAUUAAAGGUCAGAGGUCCAAAAAGUAAGGACUUUGCAUUUUAAGGACUAGUAUUUUAUAAACCAAAGUUACAGCAGCAGCAGCACAAAAGAAUAGAGGGAAUAGUUUUAAAAUUUUGGAGAAACUAAAUUUUCACUAUGAUUAUACUGGAAAUAACAUAUCAUAGUGUCUCUCAAUACAGGACCCCUAUGAUAAGAAAAAUACCUUGAGCUGGCCAGUAUCAAUUUUAGUUAUUUUUAUCAUUUUGUUACUUAGGUAUAUAAAAUACAUUAGCUUUAAACUCAUUAUGCUUAUACCUCUCAUAUAAUCAUAAAACAAAAGACCUACAAACUAAGUAUAAAGAAACCUAAAAAAAUAACAUUAAAUUAACAAUGUUAAUUUGUAUGAUAGAUGAUGAUGCUGUCCUAUAACUGAAUCUUUCAUGACAUGAAUAUGGUAUUGACUGCUGCAGUGCAGGAACUUUUGAGUUUGACAACCAA
Molecule: long non-coding RNA, 557 nt
Filed under: Bos taurus (domestic cattle)
Lineage: Eukaryota; Metazoa; Chordata; Mammalia; Artiodactyla; Bovidae
Description: long non-coding RNA NONBTAT024313
Source: RNAcentral